UAAAACUCUUAAAAGCAAAAGAAAGAAGAAUCAAAGUAUAAAAAAAAAAAUACAAAGAAAAAUAAAGCAAAUGGAAAGAUGCGAAAAUCAAAUAAGAAAACUAAAAGAACAGAAAGAAAAACAUAUACUAAACAAGUAUGUUGCACUAGGAACGUCGAAAUUGAAUUAUCUUGAUCCCAGAAUCAGCAUAGCUUGGUGUAAAAGGUUUGGUGUUCCAGUAGAAAAGAUUUACACCAAAUCGCAAAUGGAAAAAUUUCAGUGGGCUGUUGAAAUUGCAACGAAAAAUUUUAAAUUUUAAUUCCAGAACAGAAAAUAAAAAAAUUAUGUCAAUGUUUCUUUGAAACAGUAACUUUGUUUUCACCAUAUUAAAUAUUAGUAAUUUGCAUAUUAAUAUCUAUGUGCU
Molecule: long non-coding RNA, 403 nt
Organism: Stegodyphus dumicola
Lineage: Eukaryota; Metazoa; Arthropoda; Arachnida; Araneae; Eresidae
Source: RefSeq, a predicted model, not a curated record